Non-coding RNA from Pseudomonas batumici, 97 nucleotides. The record is from Rfam. Lineage: Bacteria; Pseudomonadati; Pseudomonadota; Gammaproteobacteria; Pseudomonadales; Pseudomonadaceae.
UGUUAUGGCGGCUGUACGUGGGAGAUCUUCGGGAUCUGCCGGGUAGUGCGCCUCUUCUUGCCCCGGUCUUGCACACCUGCGUAUAGCUGCCACCCUC